Long non-coding RNA from Hipposideros armiger (great roundleaf bat), 1241 nucleotides. RefSeq lists it as uncharacterized. NCBI's taxonomy places the organism in Eukaryota, Metazoa, Chordata, Mammalia, Chiroptera, Hipposideridae. The record is from RefSeq and is a predicted model, not a curated record. The transcript is spliced from 2 exons.
UUCGAAGAUGGAUGUAGUGAUAUUCAGCAAUGAGCUUCUCCACCUUUCAUCCUCCCACCCGAUGACCAGAACCAAAUCUGGGAUGCUGUGAGGACUUCCAGGUGUCAAUGAGUUGAAAAGGUUGCCCCAAACCAGGACUGUUAGAAUUUAGGUUCCUUAUUGGGUUUCUUUCUAGAUAGAUGGGAGCUGAGAAAAACUGGUUAAGACUUCCGAUUUGAGAUCUUAUGAUCAGGGACAUGGUAAAAACUUUUCUGUUCUUCCUGGGGUGGUAGAGAGAGAGCCACAGUUCUGCUUUGACAGUUGAUAGAUUUGUGUGAACUUGGCAACAACUCAGGCCUGAAGAGACCAGCUGGGAUCCAGCCUGGUAUUGUGUUUACAUUUUUGAUUAUUUUUGGUGGUGUGGGUCUUGAAAAGGGAAAUCAAAAACCAACAAUUUCACAGACAUACCCUUAAAGCAGCCUAUUUCGUCAAGCCAGGAAAUAUUUCACUGAAAGUUUUCCCUGGAAUGUGACUCACAUGUAGGGCCCUAGGAAUGGUUUGAAGUUGGAGUGUGGGUUUUAAAUGUAUCGAUUUUCCUGGAUGCAUGGCAUAGGUGAACAUAGCAAAACCUGAUAUUUGCAUUUGGUUACUGCCCUUUGAGGAUCCAACGAUUAAAAGUGCCAGGUAUGACAUGUCCACUCAGACUUAGUGUGAUGGAUCAUGACAAGCUUUCAGGGUAGCUCACGAAGGACCCCUAGCGACAGCAUUGGGGCUGUGCCACCUCCACACCUGGGUUCACUGGGUUCGCCCAUCCUGACAAAGGAAAGUCCACAUAGAUCCGCCUCUAGGACAUCCCAUCAGUGUCACCCCAGCCUCAGGGACGAAGGCCUCACUCCCAUUCUCAACAGGCCUCCCUGCCGCUGUCCAGGCUGCUUCCAAGUGUUUCCUCAACUUCUCCCCACCCUCUAAACCUCCCCUUCCUUACACUUAGCUUUCCCCCCCCAUUAUUUCCUCAGGGGCCCCAAGUCUCCCCUCCAUACUUCACUCAUGUCCCCAUCUGCCCCAGAGUGAGGAAGCUCCUGCAGGCUCUGCAAGCCUCGGGCCUCUCUCUUCCAUCCCUCCCUGUGAGGUCUAGUUCUCUCUUUCACAGGCUCUUCCUCUCCCCUCGGGGAAGAAGGAGGUUGGAGGGAGGGUCCCCACCGAUACUGCACAUGGUGGGUCUCAAAUUCAGACCUUCAGUAUUCUCUCUAAAAGAGGUCAAA